CACGUAGUUAGCCGGUGCUUCUUAUUCCGGUACCGUCAUCCACACAAGGUAUUAGCCUAUGCGAUUUCUUCCCGGCCGAAAGAGCUUUACAACCCGAAGGCCUUCUUCACUCACGCGGCAUGGCUAGAUCAGGGUUGCCCCCAUUGUCCAAAAUUCCCCA
Molecule: ribosomal RNA, 160 nt
Filed under: uncultured bacterium
Lineage: Bacteria
Description: partial 16S ribosomal RNA
Source: RNAcentral